RNAcentral lists this Y RNA (113 nucleotides) under Aotus nancymaae (Ma's night monkey). Its description in RNAcentral is "Y RNA (ENSANAG00000008438.1)". It matches the Rfam family "Y RNA". Rfam says of the family: Y RNAs are components of the Ro ribonucleoprotein particle (Ro RNP), in association with Ro60 and La proteins. The Y RNAs and Ro60 and La proteins are well conserved, but the function of the Ro RNP is not known. The record is from Rfam by way of RNAcentral. Lineage: Eukaryota; Metazoa; Chordata; Mammalia; Primates; Aotidae.
GGCUGGUAUGAAGGUAGUGAGUUAUCUCAAUUGAUUGUUCACAGUCAGUUACAGAUCGAACUCCUUGUUCUGCUCUUUCCCCCCUUCUCACUACUGUACUUGACUAGUCAAAA